GGCAGCACAACUCCAUGUCUGGUUGAUGGGCAGAGAAAGUGGGCAGCUUGCCAGGUAGACGUUUCCAUGGCUCCCAACCCCCAAAGGUGAUGCAUUUUUCAGCUAAUUCAAUGAAGAGUGGGCUGAACUUUGGGUAUAAACUAGACAAUAGCUGCCUUCGCAGUAUCAGCAGAAUGGUUUAUGGGAAUGCACUCUACAUUUGGCAGAAAAAAACCAUGUGACCUUACGGCUGAGAUUUUGCGAUGGUGCCAAUGGAGACUUAGAAAGCUGCACCCAUCCUGACUCGUUUCUUAUAUGAGCUCAGAAAAUGGUGGAUCUUAAUACUUGACUUUAAGCAGACUCAGAAAGCAGUCAGAGCCUCGGAGCACAACUUUGCCUUUAUUCUAUCUUUUUUUUGGCAGGCCACCAGGAGGCUGUCCCUUUCACGCCUGAUAAAGUCUGUUGCUUAUCUCUCCAAAUAGAUGAGAGGGGAUGAGAAAACCUAAACCGAAUAUUUAGGAUUUAAAAACUGCUUUUGAGAAGGACAACUUCUAAAGCGGGAUGUUUUUGUAGUUUACGACAGCCCUUCUGAUCAUCUGAAGAAUAAAAGUUACUAGUGUUUUAAUGAACAGGCGUUUGAGCUGGACAAACCCGACAGCAUUGAACAUGAGAUCAUUGCGAACACAGUGUAACCAAUUGGCACCCUGCCUUUUUGCCCCUUUGCUUCGGCAGAUUUGUGAAAUCCUCAUUUAUAAAAUCAGCACAGGGGUUCAAUGACUUUUUAUCCUGCUUUCUUCUGCUUCUGGUCCUACACAGGAGAUUGUCACAAGGAUUGGUGCAAUUUUUGCGCAGUGCUGUGUGCCUGGAAUUCCAAGAAGAAGAAAAAUGAAGACAGACUUCCUGGUCCUUACUCUUGGAUAUAGCAGAAGUCAAGGAAGAUACAAAAUCUGAGUUUGUUGUCCGUGCCAGAGUCUGGAAGAAAGUCAAUUGACUUGUUCACAAAAAUAAUAAGCAACUGGCAUGUCUAACAACAGGAGCUUUCAGGAUGAGUUAGGGCUUCAUAGGACAUAACUAAAUAAGCUGAAACAAUUGAUGUAUUUAAAAGUGAUUUUAUUAUUGCUUUAAAUAACAUGUUGCACUGGGUGAUAAAGCACCUUUCCAAACAGUGCUAUGAAAAAUUUAAAUGGAAAAGAAAAAUGAAGAAUUUGGUCUUGUAAGAACUGAAUGAAGCUGAACUGCACCUUGAAGACAGGCAUGAAUGGGUUAUAUACACCAGACUCUCCUUCAGUGGCCAGAACCUGAAUGGCUGCUGAUUCUUUGGCUCUUCUGCCGAACAUCAUGGAUCUGUUCCUAAAGUAGACAUUUUCUUUUCCAUCUCGCAAAUGCAACUAACAUGCCAGAGAAGGGGGGAUGUGAAUCUUUUCUGCAUUGUGGUUGUGUCGUUAAAAGUCUUCACCUUUAAAAAAACAAAAUAAUUUGGGGAAGAAUCAGUUUUUCUAACUGUAUGGAGAAUAUUUUGAAAGUUCAAAUGUGGUUCAAGUGAUCCGGCACAGAAUGACAAGUUGCUGAAAGUCACUGUGUACAACAAUUUAGGAAGUGAAAAACAGAGCAUUCAGAAGGCAGAAGCUUCUUUCAUAUUAGUCAACAGAUAAAAUAUUCAGUUUGGGGAUGAGGAAAAAGCUUGAAUUGUGCUCAAAGGGUAUUCUUGCUCUAGAAUGGCUUAGAAGUGCCAAAUGUGUUAGGGCCCACAGUAACAAUGGUACUGGAUAUAUAAUGCUGAACUGUUUAAUCUUUGUUUAAGCCACUGGAACAAGCUGAAGGACACUGUACAAUUCUGCUUGGAGCAGAUUUUAACCUGCUUUUAGUCUCCUUACUUUUUCUGCAUGCACAACUUUGAUAGCCUUCUAGAAUGGAGUUUUGAAUUUCCUAGGAAUCUCUUGCUCAUGCAACUGAAAGCCUAUUUUGACAGUCUUCGUGCUACCUAUUCAUGUUAUAUCUUCCAAAUCUCCUGCAAGAGGUGUUUUAUAAAACAACAAAAACCAUUCUGAUUAAUUGAAGAAGAAUUCAACUGGAUCUUUUCGGACUUUUCCUAGUCCCUGAGACCCUAACUUGUGAGGUUUUUUAGCAACAAUCACAAGUCAGGCUCUUGGGACCUAGGCGGAGGGGAACCAGCAGCUUUGGACUUAUUGAUUAAUGUAUCUACAAUACUGAUAGCAUAAAAAUACAUUUGCCUGUGGGGGAGGUGGGUGAAAUGACAAUCAGAUGUUUUGGCCUAUAAAAAAUGAUUAUUGCAGAGUACAUAUGAUGUUAUGUAAUCUUUAAUUUUGUAUAUUUAUAUACCUACCUAUAUUGUACCAUACUCUUAAUGUUUUGAAUUAAUGUGCGGAAUUGAUUGAAAUCUGGAGAAUAAAACAGCUUUGUUUUUA
Molecule: long non-coding RNA, 2405 nt
Organism: Hemicordylus capensis (graceful crag lizard)
Lineage: Eukaryota; Metazoa; Chordata; Lepidosauria; Squamata; Cordylidae
Exons: 3
Source: RefSeq, a predicted model, not a curated record